GCCAGGCGUGGUGGCUCACGCCUGUAAUCCUAGCACUUUGGGAGGCUGAGGUGGGCGGAUCGCUUGAGUCCAGGAGUUCAAGACCAGCCUGGGCAACAUAGCGAGAUCCUGUCUCUA
This 117-nucleotide non-coding RNA is filed under the name Nomascus leucogenys (northern white-cheeked gibbon). The record is from Rfam by way of RNAcentral. Lineage: Eukaryota; Metazoa; Chordata; Mammalia; Primates; Hylobatidae.